UACGAAGGGGGCUAGCGUUGCUCGGAAUCACUGGGCGUAAAGCGCACGUAGGCGGACUCUUAGGUCGGUGGUGAAAUCCUGGAGCUCAACUCCAGAACUGCCUUCGAUACUGAGAGUCUCGAGUCCGAGAGAGGUGAGUGGAACUGCGAGUGUAGAGGUGAAAUUCGUAGAUAUUCGCAAGAACACCAGUGGCGAAGGCGGCUCACUGGCUCGGUACUGACGCUGAGGUGCGAAAGCCAGGGGAGCAAACGGG
This 253-nucleotide ribosomal RNA is filed under the name uncultured bacterium. RNAcentral's name for it is "partial 16S ribosomal RNA". It matches the Rfam family "Bacterial small subunit ribosomal RNA", at positions 524 to 776 of the family's 1533-position model. The record is from RNAcentral.